CACUGGUCGAGAUCUGUUGCCUCUCUCCUGAUGAGUCCAAGGCAGGACGAAACCAGUG
This 58-nucleotide non-coding RNA is filed under the name Helianthus annuus (common sunflower). The record is from RNAcentral. Lineage: Eukaryota; Viridiplantae; Streptophyta; Magnoliopsida; Asterales; Asteraceae.